This 72-nucleotide transfer RNA is filed under the name Pangasianodon hypophthalmus (striped catfish). Its description in RNAcentral is "tRNA-Glu". Lineage: Eukaryota; Metazoa; Chordata; Actinopteri; Siluriformes; Pangasiidae. The record is from RNAcentral.
UCCCUGAAGGACUAGUGGUUAGGCCACAGUGCUCUCACUGCUGCAGCCCGCGUUCGGUUCCCGUCCAGGGAA